RNAcentral lists this transfer RNA (96 nucleotides) under Dufourea novaeangliae. It matches the Rfam family "tRNA". From Rfam's summary of the family: Transfer RNA (tRNA) molecules are approximately 80 nucleotides in length. Their secondary structure includes four short double-helical elements and three loops (D, anti-codon, and T loops). Further hydrogen bonds mediate the characteristic L-shaped molecular structure. tRNAs have two regions of fundamental functional importance: the anti-codon, which is responsible for specific mRNA codon recognition, and the 3' end, to which the tRNAs corresponding amino acid is attached (by aminoacyl-tRNA synthetases). tRNAs cope with the degeneracy of the genetic code in two manners: having more than one tRNA (with a specific anti-codon) for a particular amino acid; and 'wobble' base-pairing, i.e. permitting non-standard base-pairing at the 3rd anti-codon position. The record is from Rfam by way of RNAcentral. Lineage: Eukaryota; Metazoa; Arthropoda; Insecta; Hymenoptera; Halictidae.
CCUUCGAUAGCUCAGUUGGUAGAGCGGUGGACUGUAGUCGGCUUGUUCAAAUGAUAAGAUAUCCAUAGGUCGCUGGUUCAAAUCCGGCUCGAAGGA